RNAcentral lists this ribosomal RNA (253 nucleotides) under uncultured bacterium. RNAcentral describes it as "partial 16S ribosomal RNA". It matches the Rfam family "Bacterial small subunit ribosomal RNA", at positions 524 to 776 of the family's 1533-position model. The record is from RNAcentral.
UACAGAGGUCCCAAGCGUUAUCCGGAUUCACUGGGUUUAAAGGGUGCGUAGGUGGAAUGACAAGUCAGUGGUGAAAACCUGCAGCUUAACUGUAGAACUGCCAUUGAUACUGUUAUUCUUGAGUACAUUUGAUGUGAGUGGAAUGUGUCGUGUAGCGGUGAAAUGCUUAGAUAUGACACAGAACACCAAUUGCGAAGGCAGCUCACAAAACUGUAACUGACACUGAGGCACGAAAGCGUGGGGAUCAAACAGG